RNAcentral lists this long non-coding RNA (387 nucleotides) under Rattus norvegicus (Norway rat). RNAcentral describes it as "long non-coding RNA NONRATT021856". Lineage: Eukaryota; Metazoa; Chordata; Mammalia; Rodentia; Muridae. The record is from RNAcentral.
GGCGGGCCUCUGCCUCAGCCUGCUGAGGAUUGGCUGGUUUCUCCGCCAGCUUGAAAACCUUCUCGCUGUUUGGCGCGUAUUGUUCUCUAGUGUUUUCUUCCUUCCUUUUCAGCGGGGGAUCUCCAGUUGAAGAAGCGGCGGGUGAGGGGUGUCGGAGGUGUUCAGGUAAACCAGUGGGAGAAAGAUGUCUCCCCACAACUUUGAGUUCCACCUGCCCUUAUCUCCAGAGGAGCUGCUGAAAAGUAGAGGUGUGAAUCAGUAUGUUGUUCAGGAGGUACUACCCAUCAAGCAUCUUCCAACCCAGCUUAGAGCAUUUCAGUCUGCCUUCCGAGCUCAGGGGCCCCUGGCCAUACUGGACCACUUCGAUACAAUCUACAGCAUUAUACA